AGAGGUGUCUCUCAGUGGUAGAGCACCUGCCCAGCAUGCUUGAGGCACUGGGUUCAAUCCCAGCACCACAU
RNAcentral lists this transfer RNA (71 nucleotides) under Marmota monax (woodchuck). Its description in RNAcentral is "tRNA.Ala". Lineage: Eukaryota; Metazoa; Chordata; Mammalia; Rodentia; Sciuridae. The record is from RNAcentral.